Long non-coding RNA from Homo sapiens (human), 1484 nucleotides. Ensembl annotates it as long intergenic non-protein coding RNA 1986. The record is from Ensembl. NCBI's taxonomy places the organism in Eukaryota, Metazoa, Chordata, Mammalia, Primates, Hominidae.
GAGAGACACAACGACGUCUACUUUGUUCCUUGGUCAGUCGAUGGCCUGCGGGUGUCUGCUGGUGUCUGGCCGUGUGCUCUUUCUCGACGUACAGCUGUUUGUGUGUGUGCCCGCGACAGUCUCGGGUUUUGAUGGGCACAGGAUGGGGGGCCAAAAGGCAAAACUGUUUUGGUGGGCAAAAACAGAAAUGCCUGUCCUCAUUUAGGUCCAUGGGCACAGGCCCGAGGUUGUAGCCCUUGCCAGGGAUCCUGCCCUUCUCUACUCAGCACUUCGCUGCCCCUCUCCUGAAUCACAUCAAUUAAGAACUUUCUUCACCACCCCUUCGCUGUCAUCCUUUUCUCUCCACUAUUCACCCAACAUCAUCCGGGACCAGAACUAAUGUCAGCAAAGCAGGGGAAGGAAGUAAACUUCUAGGAGUAGAAGAAAGGAUGAAAAAGCCAACCACAACCCCCUUUCUUCAUUAAAGGCUUCCCUCUACCGUACUCGAAAACAACUUUGCCAUUUUGAUAAUCAAAUGAAAAAGUAUAGUUUCUAACUCUGUACUAUUUGUACACUAUUUGUACUUUCUAAAUCUAUACUAUUCGUAUUAUUUAAAAGUGACCAUAAAUAUUAUAAACUAAGUUAACCAAGGUUUUGCCUGGAGGCAAGGGAAGACCAAAUCCCAUGAUACAACUUAAAUAGUUGAAUUCCACUUAUGUGAAAACACACACAUAUGUUUAAAAGGCAUAUAUGUAUAAAAAUGGAUAUCAAAUGGUAUGAAAUAAUUUGCACUAAAUUGAUAAUUGAGGAAAAAAUGUGAAGAGAAACUUCCAGACCAAAAGCUUCAUGGGCAAAAGAACCAUAUCUUCACAUCCUUAAUGAGGAUAAGGAUUGCAGAGGCAGUACUUUGUAGAAACUAUUGACUAUAUAGCUUGUUGUAGCUGUUUCGGAUAUAGCAGCAAUCAAGAAUGACAAGCAAUCUUGAAGAUCAGACAGAAAACCAGCCUAUGAAUCAAAGAAGAAAAUCAAAAUCAGACUUCAUAACUGCUUCAGUAACCCUUGGCAACAGACAACACACUGGAUUUUGGCGAAUAACACUAAAAUUUUUGCUGGUGAGGUCUUCAGAAACUGGAUAGAUGUGAAACCACCAGAACAGAAGUGGAGCGGGCAUGGUAUCUGUUUCUUCAAUUUGUAGUUUUAUAGUCAAAAACUGGCAUGUAUAUACUUAAUUGGUAACAUGUAAGUCACGUGCCUCUAUCCCAACUCUAAGAGAGGUUGAGAACUUAAUUUCUGGCUUCUACCUUGGGAAGGAUCAGGCUUAUAAGCUGGAAAAUUAGCCAACAUACACAGGAUAUUCAAAGCUUCUAGGCAGUCAAAAUACUGUCAAGUGGUAAAACAGACAUGAAAAAACCUUUUUUUCUCUCCUAAAUUUAAAAAAAUAUAAUUUUUGUAAAACACUGUAUGUGGCUUUCCAUAAAAUUAAAAGAGUCUUGGGAGAGAGAACA